GUAAGACCCCACCUUGUAUAUGUGGUGCAAUAUUGGGCACCAGUUUUAGAGAAGGAUAUUGCAGAAGUAGAAAAAGUGCAGAGGCUAACUACAAAACUAGUAAUGGGGGUGGAAAACAUUAGUUAUAAGGAAACUCAAAAAACUGGAAUUGUUUUCUUUAAAAAAAAAAAAAAAGGUACCUCAGAGGGGAUAUGAUAGAAAUAUACAAAUAUAUACUGGGUCAGUACAAACUGCUAUGUGCUAACAUGUUCAUUAGCACGAAUGUACAACAGACAUAAGGUCAUUCAUUUAGACUGGGAGAGAGACAUUUUUGCUUACAGCAGAGGAAAGGGAUCUUUACA
Non-coding RNA from Pelobates cultripes (western spadefoot toad), 341 nucleotides. Lineage: Eukaryota; Metazoa; Chordata; Amphibia; Anura; Pelobatidae. The record is from the annotation of a GenBank genome assembly.